ACAAAAACAAGAGACAUGAUUGAUUAGACUGGUAAUCAUGUGUGCUUUCAUUUCAGAGCAGAGGCAGAUGAAGUUUCUUCCUACACAUGGCUUUGAAGAACGAACUCAGUUUCAUGUUGUACAUCUACCAAAAGAGACCUGUACUGGGCAGUUACUGUAUGACUGCACUUCAGAAGCCAAAGGGAGGUGGGAUGCAGUUUGUCACUGCCUGUGAGGACUGGAGCACCUACAGGAGCCAGUGCCUUGGGAGAUGGUGAGGGAAAGGAUGUAUGGACUCGUGCAUUCUGUUUGUCUGCCAAGGGAUGUAUGGAUUGUUCUGAUUAAGAUUGGGAGAACUGACCUGUGUUAUAUUUGAGUGGUGUUGGUUUCUCAGGCUGUGUUCAUCAGCUUGUCAGCCUGACAAAUGGUCAUCUGCCAGACAGUUCUAAAUUCUCCUGGACUUGCUGUUCUUUUCAUACUUAUGUACCUAUGGAAGACCCUAUGGUCUGGUUGUCUUGAAAUUUCCCACUGAUUCCAUUGGUAAAAUAGGAUCAAACUUUGUCUUGACUGAAGUGCUAAGUCUUUAAGAAAUAAAUACAAUAGCUAUAUUAGCA
RNAcentral lists this long non-coding RNA (593 nucleotides) under Cyanistes caeruleus (blue tit). RNAcentral's name for it is "lncRNA (ENSCCEG00000018410.1)". Lineage: Eukaryota; Metazoa; Chordata; Aves; Passeriformes; Paridae. The record is from RNAcentral.